This 465-nucleotide ribosomal RNA is filed under the name uncultured bacterium. Its description in RNAcentral is "partial 16S ribosomal RNA". It matches the Rfam family "Bacterial small subunit ribosomal RNA", at positions 28 to 507 of the family's 1533-position model. The record is from RNAcentral.
GACGAACGCUGGCGGCGUGCUUAACACAUGCAAGUCGAACGGAAAGGCCCCUUUGGGGGUCCUCGAGUGGCGAACGGGUGAGUAACACGUGAGUAACCUGCCCUUGACUUCGGGAUAACUUCAGGAAACUGGGGCUAAUACCGGAUAGGAAUCCUUGCUGCAUGGUGGGGGUUGGAAAGCUUCGGCGGUUUUGGAUGGACUCGCGGCUUAUCAGCUUGUUGGUGGGGUAGUGGCUUACCAAGGCUUUGACGGGUAGCCGGCCUGAGAGGGCGACCGGCCACAUUGGGACUGAGAUACGGCCCAGACUCCUACGGGAGGCAGCAGUGGGGAAUAUUGUACAAUGGGCGGAAGCCUGAUGCAGCAACGCCGCGUGCGGGAUGACGGCCUUCGGGUUGUAAACCGCUUUCAGCAGGGGCGAAGCUUGUGGUGACGGUACCUGCAGAAGAAGCACCGGCUAACUACGUG